This 460-nucleotide ribosomal RNA is filed under the name uncultured bacterium. RNAcentral's name for it is "partial 16S ribosomal RNA". It matches the Rfam family "Bacterial small subunit ribosomal RNA", at positions 338 to 795 of the family's 1533-position model. The record is from RNAcentral.
CCUACGGGUGGCAGCAGUGAGGAAUAUUGGGCAAUGGACGAGAGUCUGAACCAGCCAAGUAGCGUGAAGGAUGACUGCUCUAUGGGUGGUAAACUCCUUUUAUAAAGGAGUAAAACGAGGCACGUGUGCCUUUUUGCCUGUACUUUAUGAAUACGGAUCGGCUAACUCCGUGCCAGCAGCCGCGGUAAUACGGAGGAUGCGAGCGUUAUCCGGAUUUAUUGGGUUUAAAGGGUGCGUAGGUGGUUAAUUAAGUCAGCGGUGAAAGUUUGUGGCUCAACCAUAGAAUUGCCGUUGAAACUGGUUGACUUGAGUGUAUUUGAGGUAGGCGGAAUGCGUGGUGUAGCGGUGAAAUGCGUAGAUAUCAGGCAGAACUCCGAUUGCGAAGGCAGCUUACUAAACUAUAACUGACACUGAAGCACGAAAGCGUGGGGAGCAAACAGGAUUAGAUACCCCUGUAGUC